RNAcentral lists this ribosomal RNA (282 nucleotides) under uncultured bacterium. RNAcentral's name for it is "partial 16S ribosomal RNA". It matches the Rfam family "Bacterial small subunit ribosomal RNA", at positions 28 to 337 of the family's 1533-position model. The record is from RNAcentral.
GACGAACGCUGGCGGUGUGCUUCACACAUGCAAGUCGAACGAGGUAGCAAUACCUAGUGGCGGACGGGUGAGUAACGCGUGGGAAUCUGCCUUUAGAUGGGGGAUAACGGGUCGAAAGACUCGCUAAUACCGCAUAUGACGAAAGUUGAAAGGAGUAAUCCGUCUAAAGAUGAGCCCGCGUCCGAUUAGCUAGUUGGUAGAGUAAAAGCCUACCAAGGCGACGAUCGGUAGCUGGUCUGAGAGGAUGAUCAGCCACAAUGGGACUGAGACACGGCCCAUACU